AUGACUCCACAGUCCCAGAUGAUCCCACAGUCCCACAUGUGUGACUCCACAGUCCCACAUGACUCCACAGUCCCACAUGACUCCCUGGUCCCACAUGACUCCACUGUCCCACAUGACUCCACAGUCCCACAUGACUCCACUGUUCCACAUGACUCCACAGUCCCACAUGACUCCACUGUUCCACAUGACUCCACUGUUCCACAUGACUCCACAGUCCUACAUGGCUCCACUGUUCCACAUGACUCCACUGUUCCACAUGACCUGGCCCCUCGCACCUCCCUGAACUUCUUGCUGUCAUGACUGGUCUCUAAAAGGGCUGAACCUGUUCCCUUGCAGGGCUGAACCUAUUCCCAUUCAGGACUCAAUCUAUCCCCAUUCAGGGGUCAACCUAUUCCCAUUCAGGGCUCGAUCUGCUCAUAUUUAGGGCUGAACCUAUUCCCAUUCAGGGCUGAACCUAUUCCCAUUCAAGGCUCAACCUGUUCCCAUUCAGGGCUGAGCUUGUUCCUAUUCAGGGCUGAACCUAUUCUCAUUCAGAGCUCGACCUAUUCUCAUUCAGGACUGAACCUGUUCCCAUUCACGACCGAACCUAUUCCCAUUCAAGGCUCAACCUAUUCUCAUUCAGGGCUCAACCUAUUCCCAUUCAGGACUGAACCUAUUCCCAUUCAGGGCUCAACCUAUUCCCAUUCAGGACUGAACCUAUUCCCAUUCAGGGCUCAACCUAUUCCCAUUCAGGACUGAACCUAUUCUCAUUGAAGACUGAACCUAUUCUCAUUCAGGACUGAACCUAUUCCCAUUCAGGGCUGAACCUUUUCUCAUUCAGGGCUCAAAAACCUGCUGCUGUUCUCUCUGCACACAGUCACUCAAGGUCUCCACAUUUCUCCUGCUUCUCUUCAUGAGGUCUCUGCUAAAAUGUGAUCUUCUCAGAACAGCUUUCCCUAAACUCUCUAUUCAGUGCCCUACUGUAUUGUUGGCACUGGAAAUAAAUUAGUGGGAAAAUUCAGUCUAGAAACCCUGUACUUAGGGCUCUUUCUCUCUCAUGGGAGUCACUGCCCUGCAGCCUCCUCCCAUUCAUUUAUUUACCCAUUUGUUCUGAUUUGUC
This 1099-nucleotide long non-coding RNA is filed under the name Papio anubis (olive baboon). Its description in RNAcentral is "lncRNA (ENSPANG00000048853.1)". The record is from RNAcentral. Lineage: Eukaryota; Metazoa; Chordata; Mammalia; Primates; Cercopithecidae.